AAGUUUCGAAGUCACGCUCUUCUUCUUCUUCCCUUCUUUCGCCCUUCUCUUUAUCUUGAAACUAAUCAUUCAAAAGCAUGUAAACUGUGAAAGCAAGAACCAUCUUCCACCAAGUCCAGGUCUACCCACUUUAGGUCAUCUCCAUCUACUCAAAGAACCGGUUCACCGAACCCUACAGAGUCUCACAGAGAGAUUUGGCGAUGUCUUGUUCCUUAAAUUCAGCGUGUGUAGACCGCUCGCGCACCCUUGCAGGGAAGCACCUCAACUGCAACACCACCACCAUGGAAC
Molecule: long non-coding RNA, 288 nt
Filed under: Eucalyptus grandis
Lineage: Eukaryota; Viridiplantae; Streptophyta; Magnoliopsida; Myrtales; Myrtaceae
Description: long non-coding RNA (EGRA_LNC005511)
Source: RNAcentral